Molecule: long non-coding RNA, 244 nt
Filed under: Mytilus galloprovincialis (Mediterranean mussel)
Lineage: Eukaryota; Metazoa; Mollusca; Bivalvia; Mytilida; Mytilidae
Source: RNAcentral
CGAAAUUACAAAUGUAAAACAAUUCAAAAGAGUCUGACAUGAUUUGUAAUCAGUUGAAGUAUGAAAUCAUCAUAAUCAUAAUGUAUGGCCAUAUAUACUAGAAGGGACUAUUCCCAGGACCAAGAUAAAGUAAUUGAAUACUUUUUGGGGCAUGUUUUUUUUUUUUCAAAUAAGUUAGCAUUUAAUUUAUCUUUUUCCUUGACGAAUCCUUCUUUCAAAUUUCACAGUGAUCCAUUGUUAAAAU